UUGGAUGGAAUUGCCCCAAAAUGGAUGAAAUUGGCCCAAAAUGGGAUCAGAAUGUCCCAAAAAGUGGUCAAAGAGUCCCAAAACUGGAUGAAAUUGGCCCAAAAUGGGAUCAAAACACCCAAAAAUGGAUGGAAUUGGCCCAAAAUGGGAUCAGAACACCCAAAAAGGGAUCAGAAUGUCCCAAAAAGGGAUCAAAGAUCCCAAAAAUGGGUGAAAUUGGCCCAAAAUGGGAUCAGAAUUCCCAAAAAGAGGCGGAA
This is a long non-coding RNA of Poecile atricapillus (Black-capped chickadee), 257 nucleotides long. RefSeq lists it as uncharacterized. Lineage: Eukaryota; Metazoa; Chordata; Aves; Passeriformes; Paridae. The transcript has 2 exons. The record is from RefSeq and is a predicted model, not a curated record.